CUCCCGAGUCCGGUCUCCGAGGUUUUUUCGGGACUUUUUUCCAAAGAUUUUAUCCGAUAUUUUUCCCAAGUCUUUUCCAAGACUUCCCCAAGAUUUUCCCAAGUUUUUUUCCGAGUUUUUCCAAAGUUUUUUUCCGAGUUUUUUCCCAGGUUUUUUCCCACGUUUUUUCCAAAGUUUUUUCCCAAGUUUUUUACAAAGUUUUUUCCGAAGUUUUUUCCCAAGUUUUUUCCCCAAGUUUUUUCCAGGUCUUUUCCCGAGUCGUUCCCUUUUCGGUUCGUG
Molecule: non-coding RNA, 279 nt
Organism: Paramuricea clavata
Lineage: Eukaryota; Metazoa; Cnidaria; Anthozoa; Malacalcyonacea; Plexauridae
Source: the annotation of a GenBank genome assembly